Molecule: ribosomal RNA, 882 nt
Filed under: uncultured bacterium
Lineage: Bacteria
Description: bacterial SSU rRNA
Rfam family: Bacterial small subunit ribosomal RNA
Source: RNAcentral
AAAGCGAGCGGCGGAUGGGUGAGUAACACGUGGGGAACCUGCCCCUAAGUCUGGGAUACCAUUUGGAAACAGGUGCUAAUACCGGAUAAUAAAGCAGAUCGCAUGAUCAGCUUUUGAAAGGCGGCGUAAGCUGUCGCUAAGGGAUGGCCCCGCGGUGCAUUAGCUAGUUGGUAAGGUAACGGCUUACCAAGGCGACGAUGCAUAGCCGAGUUGAGAGACUGAUCGGCCACAUUGGGACUGAGACACGGCCCAAACUCCUACGGGAGGCAGCAGUAGGGGAUCUUCCACAAUGGACGCAAGUCUGAUGGAGCAACGCCGCGUGAGUGAAGAAGGUUUUCGGAUCGUAAAGCUCUGUUGUUGGUGAAGAAGGAUAGAGGUAGUAACUGGCCUUUAUUUGACGGUAAUCAACCAGAAAGUCACGGCUAACUACGUGCCAGCAGCCGCGGUAAUACGUAGGUGGCAAGCGUUGUCCGGAUUUAUUGGGCGUAAAGCGAGCGCAGGCGGAAAAAUAAGUCUAAUGUGAAAGCCCUCGGCUUAACCGAGGAACUGCAUCGGAAACUGUUUUUCUUGAGUGCAGAAGAGGAGAGUGGAACUCCAUGUGUAGCGGUGGAAUGCGUAGAUAUAUGGAAGAACACCAGUGGCGAAGGCGGCUCUCUGGUCUGCAACUGACGCUGAGGCUCGAAAGCAUGGGUAGCGAACAGGAUUAGAUACCCUGGUAGUCCAUGCCGUAAACGAUGAGUGCUAAGUGUUGGGAGGUUUCCGCCUCUCAGUGCUGCAGCUAACGCAUUAAGCACUCCGCCUGGGGAGUACGACCGCAAAGGUUGAAACUCAAAGGAAUUGACGGGGGGCCCCGCACAAGCGGUGGAGCAUGUGGUUUAAUUC